RNAcentral lists this ribosomal RNA (231 nucleotides) under uncultured bacterium. Its description in RNAcentral is "partial 16S ribosomal RNA". It matches the Rfam family "Bacterial small subunit ribosomal RNA", at positions 15 to 239 of the family's 1533-position model. The record is from RNAcentral.
GAUCAUGGCUCAGGAUGAACGCUAGCGGCAGGCUUAACACAUGCAAGUCGAGGGGCAGCAUAAUGGAUAGCAAUAUCUAUGGUGGCGACCGGCGCACGGGUGCGUAACGCGUAUGCAACCUACCUUUAACAGGGGGAUAACACUGAGAAAUUGGUACUAAUACCCCAUAAUAUCAUAGAAGGCAUCUUUUAUGGUUGAAAAUUCCGAUGGUUAGAGAUGGGCAUGCGUGUA